This 981-nucleotide ribosomal RNA is filed under the name Triticum aestivum (bread wheat). Its description in RNAcentral is "partial small subunit ribosomal RNA". The record is from RNAcentral. Lineage: Eukaryota; Viridiplantae; Streptophyta; Magnoliopsida; Poales; Poaceae.
AUGGCCGGCGCGUCCUCGCCGCCCCCGACGCCCAAGUCGCCCAAGCUGCAGCCGCCGCUCCUCGAGCGCGCCAAGGGCCCCUCCGGCCUCGACAAGAUCGUGCUCCGCGACCCGCGCGGGUUCACCGCCGAGGUCCGUCUAUAUGGAGGGCAAGUUACCUCUUGGAAGAAUGAGCAGGGGGAUGAGUUACUUUUUGUAAGCAGCAAGGCAGUUUUCAAGUCUCCAGGAGCAAUUCGUGGUGGCAUACCCAUCUGCUUUCCCCAGUUUGGAACACAUGGAAAUCUUGAAAAACAUGGAUUUGCAAGGAACCGGCUAUGGCUCGUUGAUGAUAAUCCUCCACCACUCCCAGUAAACAGCGGUAUUAAAACUUAUGCAGAUCUCAUUCUGAAGCCUUCUGAAGAAGAUCUCAAGAUCUGGCCUCACAGAUUUGAAUUCCGGUUAAGAGUUGCUCUUGGACCCAAAGGAGAUUUGUUUCUUACUUCCCGAAUUAGAAACACCAACACUGAUGGAAAACCUUUCUCAUUUACAUUUGCAUAUCAUACAUACUUCUCCGUGUCUGACAUAAGCGAAGUACGUAUUGAAGGGCUGGAAACAAUGGACUACUUUGACAACCUGAAGGGAAAAGAGCGAUUCACAGAGCAGGGGGAUGCUCUUGUGUUUGAAUCAGAGAUUGAUAAAGUAUAUCUGGACACACCACCAAAAAUUGCAAUUAUUGAUCAUGAGAAGAAAAGAACAUUUGUGCUUAGGAAAGAUGGGCUUCCAGAUGCUGUUGUAUGGAACCCAUGGGAGAGGAGGUCAAAAACCAUUCUUGAUUUUGGUGAUGAAGAAUAUAAGCACAUGUUGUGUGUGGAGCCUGCAGCUGUUGAGAAGCCCAUUACCUUGAAGCCUGGUGAAGAGUGGAAAGGAAGGUUGGAGCUCUCAGCUGUUCCUUCCAGUUACUAUAGUGGUCAGUUAGAUCCAGACAAGGUUCUUCAUGGUUGA